UGAGUGGGGUCCCGGAGCUGUUGUUGCCUGGGAAGGGGGUCCGGCCCUGACUGUGAGUGGGGUCCUGGAGCUGUUGUUGCCUGGGAAGGGGGUCCAGCCCUGGCUGAGUGGGGUCCCGGAGCUGUUGUUGCCUGGGAAGGGGGUCCCGCCCUGGCUGAGUGGGGUCCCGGAGCUGUUGUUGGCUGGGAAGGAGGUCCGGCUCUGACUGUGAGUGGGGUCCUGGAGCUGUCAUUGGUUGGGAAGGGGCUUAUUCCGGGGCCGUCCCCAGGGCUUCUUUUCAGGGUGGACCGUGUGAGGUGCAGCCAUUACCCUGAGAGCAUGAGAUGAAGGUGCUGGCAGGUGCUUGCAGCACUGGAGGCAGGUUGUCCUGAUUCUGCGUCUGUCCUUUGGGUACUUGGAAAGCAUCUUCAUGCCUAUGUCCACCUUCUGCACUCCCACCACGUCCUGUGGCCUUGUGUGCUCCUAUCAUGUGGCCGACCCUGUGCUGUCUCACAGGGGCUGGAGCUGGUGCUGAGCUGGGUGCGUCUCAGGCCCACCACGUCCGCAAACAAGGGAGUGGUCUGGCGGCCGAGGCUUACGGGCUCUGAGACCCAUCAGGGAACAGACGGGUCAGGCUGGGAGGUCUCAGGUGUGUGAGCCUGCGGGGCAGAGGAGCUCCUGAGGGAAAAUGCAUCCCAGGGGCCUCGCAGGGUGGGGCCUCACGGAAGAAGGAACACUAGAAGGACAGUGGGGAUGGAGCCCCCUCUCUCUACAGGCCCGGCCGGCUCAUCUGUGGGGUGUGCAGAGUGGGACCUGCACCUCCAGGGUUGCCACUGGACCGACUGAGAUAGAGCCUGUGAGAGGCGGGUAGUGGAGUGUUCCCAAAUUUACUGAGGCUUGACAGAGGGACAAGCCAAAGCAUGAGGCUGCCAGAUGCCAGGCUGGGUUGUUCAGAGGGUAUCCUGUGGAGGUUUUCUGAGACACGGAAAUAUAAAACGAUCUUCCUUGGAGGAGAGAACUGGGGCUGGGCUGCGCUGUCCUGGUGUGAGGCAGGGUGGCCAGCCAGAGGCCCAGGCCGCUCCCGGGAGCCCCGGCCAUGCUUGGCAUGUUCAGACCCUGCAGCCAUGGAUGCUGCGGUGGAACCGGGGUCUGCGGGGACCCAGAGCUUCUCGCUUUGGUGGCUGGGCCAGGAUCCUUAGCAGGGCGUUGUGUCUCUGGGGUGCAGAACAAAAAUGUAAGGAGUCACCAACGUUUCCUUCCUCACUCUGCCCUCGCACGUGCUCCGCAGGAGCUUGGACAUCCUGCGCGCGUGACUCCCUGGGAGUUUGCAUGCAUCUGUCAGCAGAGGUUCCCGUGCUGUGUGGGUGUUCACCGCGUGGGUGGCGCAGUCGACGAUGCACGGAGGUCAGUGGGAGGCGUGGCAUGGUGUGGCCUUGAGGGGAUGCUGGAUGGAAGACAGCUGAGUGGCCAGUGCCUGACAAGCCCUGUCCUGCCCGGGAUGGGAGGGGGACGCAUUUGCCCCCCCCAUGAGUAUGGUUCCGGAAUGAAGUGAAUAUAUAAGCAGGUAAUGAUGGUUACAGAUGUGUAUUUACACAUAUAAAUCCAUGCUAGGUAAACGAUAUCAUACAAAUAUAUCCUGAUAUGUAUUUUCAUUGAAAGUCUACCCCAAAGUACCAAGCCUGUUUAAGGUACAGGAAACUGUUUAGAGUGGACAUCACCAGACUUUGGGGCCCCACAUGUGCCCUUGGGCCUGUGAUGGUGCCGAUUCUGGCCCACACCAGGGCGCCUGUCCUCCUCUGUCUGGGGACAGCCAGGAAUCUGCACUUCCAGGCUUUCCAGGGGUCCCAGUGGACAGCUCAUGGAUCACACUUUAGAGGCUUGGAUUCAAUUCAUAUGGGUGCACACACAUGCCUGUCCACACGCACUGUAAUAUAAAUGUAGGCACACGUGUUCCAAGCUGUAGUGUGUACAUGUACACACACACGUGUGCGUACACACACUGUAAGCUAAAUGUAGACACAUAUAUGUUCCAAGCUGUAGUUCGUACAGGUGUGCCCACACGCCUGUCCACACACACUGUAAACUAAAUGUAGACACACAUGUGUUCCAAGCUUUAGCUCGUACAGCUGCACACACACAUGCCUGUCCACACACUCUGUAAGCUAAAUGUAGACACGUGUGUCCAAGCUGUAGCUCAUACAGCUGCACGCACACGCCUGUCCACCCACACUGUAAGCUAAAUGUAGACACUUGUGUCCAAGCUGUAGUUCAUACAGCUGCACACACCCACCCAUGCCUGUCCACACACACUGUAAACUAAGUGUAGGCACACGUGUUCUAAGCUAUAGCUCAUACAGGUGCACACACAUGCCUGUCCACACACACUGUAAGCUAAAUGUAGACACACAUGUGUUCCAGGCUGUAGCUCGUACAGCUGCACACACGUGCCUGUCCACACA
Sapajus apella (tufted capuchin) is the source of this 2438-nucleotide long non-coding RNA. RefSeq lists it as uncharacterized. The record is from RefSeq and is a predicted model, not a curated record. NCBI's taxonomy places the organism in Eukaryota, Metazoa, Chordata, Mammalia, Primates, Cebidae. The transcript is spliced from 2 exons.